Molecule: ribosomal RNA, 2925 nt
Filed under: Escherichia coli
Lineage: Bacteria; Pseudomonadati; Pseudomonadota; Gammaproteobacteria; Enterobacterales; Enterobacteriaceae
Description: partial 23S ribosomal RNA
Rfam family: Bacterial large subunit ribosomal RNA
Source: RNAcentral
GGGUUGUGAGGUUAAGCGACUAAGCGUACACGGUGGAUGCCCUGGCAGUCAGAGGCGAUGAAGGACGUGCUAAUCUGCGAUAAGCGUCGGUAAGGUGAUAUGAACCGUUAUAACCGGCGAUUUCCGAAUGGGGAAACCCAGUGUGAUUCGUCACACUAUCAUUAACUGAAUCCAUAGGUUAAUGAGGCGAACCGGGGGAACUGAAACAUCUAAGUACCCCGAGGAAAAGAAAUCAACCGAGAUUCCCCCAGUAGCGGCGAGCGAACGGGGAGCAGCCCAGAGCCUGAAUCAGUGUGUGUGUUAGUGGAAGCGUCUGGAAAGGCGCGCGAUACAGGGUGACAGCCCCGUACACAAAAAUGCACAUGCUGUGAGCUCGAUGAGUAGGGCGGGACACGUGGUAUCCUGUCUGAAUAUGGGGGGACCAUCCUCCAAGGCUAAAUACUCCUGACUGACCGAUAGUGAACCAGUACCGUGAGGGAAAGGCGAAAAGAACCCCGGCGAGGGGAGUGAAAAAGAACCUGAAACCGUGUACGUACAAGCAGUGGGAGCACGCUUAGGCGUGUGACUGCGUACCUUUUGUAUAAUGGGUCAGCGACUUAUAUUCUGUAGCAAGGUUAACCGAAUAGGGGAGCCGAAGGGAAACCGAGUCUUAACUGGGCGUUAAGUUGCAGGGUAUAGACCCGAAACCCGGUGAUCUAGCCAUGGGCAGGUUGAAGGUUGGGUAACACUAACUGGAGGACCGAACCGACUAAUGUUGAAAAAUUAGCGGAUGACUUGUGGCUGGGGGUGAAAGGCCAAUCAAACCGGGAGAUAGCUGGUUCUCCCCGAAAGCUAUUUAGGUAGCGCCUCGUGAAUUCAUCUCCGGGGGUAGAGCACUGUUUCGGCAAGGGGGUCAUCCCGACUUACCAACCCGAUGCAAACUGCGAAUACCGGAGAAUGUUAUCACGGGAGGCACACGGCGGGUGCUAACGUCCGUCGUGAAGAGGGAAACAACCCAGACCGCCAGCUAAGGUCCCAAAGUCAUGGUUAAGUGGGAAACGAUGUGGGAAGGCCCAGACAGCCAGGAUGUUGGCUUAGAAGCAGCCAUCAUUUAAAGAAAGCGUAAUAGCUCACUGGUCGAGUCGGCCUGCGCGGAAGAUGUAACGGGGCUAAACCAUGCACCGAAGCUGCGGCAGCGACGCUGAUGCGUUGUUGGGUAGGGGAGCGUUCUGUAAGCCUGUGAAGGUGUGCUGUGAGGCAUGCUGGAGGUAUCAGAAGUGCGAAUGCUGACAUAAGUAACGAUAAAGCGGGUGAAAAGCCCGCUCGCCGGAAGACCAAGGGUUCCUGUCCAACGUUAAUCGGGGCAGGGUGAGUCGACCCCUAAGGCGAGGCCGAAAGGCGUAGUCGAUGGGAAACAGGUUAAUAUUCCUGUACUUGGUGUUACUGCGAAGGGGGGACGGAGAAGGCUAUGUUGGCCGGGCGACGGUUGUCCCGGUUUAAGCGUGUAGGCUGGUUUUCCAGGCAAAUCCGGAAAAUCAAGGCUGAGGCGUGAUGACGAGGCACUACGGUGCUGAAGCAACAAAUGCCCUGCUUCCAGGAAAAGCCUCUAAGCAUCAGGUAACAUCAAAUCGUACCCCAAACCGACACAGGUGGUCAGGUAGAGAAUACCAAGGCGCUUGAGAGAACUCGGGUGAAGGAACUAGGCAAAAUGGUGCCGUAACUUCGGGAGAAGGCACGCUGAUAUGUAGGUGAAGUCCCUCGCGGAUGGAGCUGAAAUCAGUCGAAGAUACCAGCUGGCUGCAACUGUUUAUUAAAAACACAGCACUGUGCAAACACGAAAGUGGACGUAUACGGUGUGACGCCUGCCCGGUGCCGGAAGGUUAAUUGAUGGGGUCAGCGCAAGCGAAGCUCUUGAUCGAAGCCCCGGUAAACGGCGGCCGUAACUAUAACGGUCCUAAGGUAGCGAAAUUCCUUGUCGGGUAAGUUCCGACCUGCACGAAUGGCGUAAUGAUGGCCAGGCUGUCUCCACCCGAGACUCAGUGAAAUUGAACUCGCUGUGAAGAUGCAGUGUACCCGCGGCAAGACGGAAAGACCCCGUGAACCUUUACUAUAGCUUGACACUGAACAUUGAGCCUUGAUGUGUAGGAUAGGUGGGAGGCUUUGAAGUGUGGACGCCAGUCUGCAUGGAGCCGGCCUUGAAAUACCACCCUUUAAUGUUUGAUGUUCUAACGUUGACCCGUGAUCCGGGUUGCGGACAGUGUCUGGUGGGUAGUUUGACUGGGGCGGUCUCCUCCUAAAGAGUAACGGAGGAGCACGAAGGUUGGCUAAUCCUGGUCGGACAUCAGGAGGUUAGUGCAAUGGCAUAAGCCAGCUUGACUGCGAGCGUGACGGCGCGAGCAGGUGCGAAAGCAGGUCAUAGUGAUCCGGUGGUUCUGAAUGGAAGGGCCAUCGCUCAACGGAUAAAAGGUACUCCGGGGAUAACAGGCUGAUACCGCCCAAGAGUUCAUAUCGACGGCGGUGUUUGGCACCUCGAUGUCGGCUCAUCACAUCCUGGGGCUGAAGUAGGUCCCAAGGGUAUGGCUGUUCGCCAUUUAAAGUGGUACGCGAGCUGGGUUUAGAACGUCGUGAGACAGUUCGGUCCCUAUCUGCCGUGGGCGCUGGAGAACUGAGGGGGGCUGCUCCUAGUACGAGAGGACCGGAGUGGACGCAUCACUGGUGUUCGGGUUGUCAUGCCAAUGGCACUGCCCGGUAGCUAAAUGCGGAAGAGAUAAGUGCUGAAAGCAUCUAAGCACGAAACUUGCCCCGAGAUGAGUUCUCCCUGACUCCUUGAGAGUCCUGAAGGAACGUUGAAGACGACGACGUUGAUAGGCCGGGUGUGUAAGCGCAGCGAUGCGUUGAGCUAACCGGUACUAAUGAACCGUGAGGCUUAACCUUACAACGCCGAAG